UAAAAAAGGAAAAAAAGUGAUAUCGUUCUCGUUUCUGUGAAGAGGGGGAGGGAGAGGAAAAGGCGGCGACGUGAGUAAACCAGUUUCGCUUUAGCUUCUUCCUCUUCACAAAAUCUCCCGACUAAAACUUUCGCUUCCUCUUUGCUCUAAUUCCCUUCGAUUCGACUCUUACCUCUGUCUCUCUCUCUUACUCGUUUUCGCUUCAUUGCUCGAAGCCCUAGCGGUCUCCAUCAGCGGAUUCUACGGCGGAAUCAAUAUCCGGUGAAGAGUCGAAGUUUCUCUGGGCUUCGGCGAUUUCGUUUCGGUGUUUCUAUUCUGAACUCAAAAUUAGGGUUCUUAUUCAGAGUCGCCGAUGGCUCCAAGCCGUAGAAAAACGGGGAGCAAAGGCAUCGCGAAAGGAGAGUUGAGACUGGGUGAUCUCGUUCUUGCUAAAGUCAAAGGCUUUCCUGCUUGGCCUGCUAAGAUCGACCGGCCCGAAGAUUGGGAUCAUGUACCAGACCCAAAGAAAUACUUCGUUUAUUUCUUUGGAACACAGGAAAUAGCUUUUGUUGCGCCUCCUGAUAUUCAAGCUUUCACUAGUGAGGCAAAGAGUAAACUGUUAAAAAGAUGUCAAGGUAAAACGGUCAAGCACUUCGCACAAGCUGUGGAGGAGAUCUCCGCUGCAUUUGAGAAGUCGCAGAAUCGCAAGUCAGAUAACUUGGGUAGUGAGGCGCUUUUGAAUGCUGUUGAGCCUAGUUUGACCAAGGCUAAGGCAUUGGAUGAAACAGAUCAUAGAGACACUGGUGAUGAUGAGAAUUCUGAUAAGUUUGAUUCUAGGGCGGAUCCUGGUCUCCAUAAAGUAGUUGAGAAUAAUGGUGCUGAGACAAAGCCUUGCAUAGGAGAGGAAGAUUCAUCCCCGGGUGGUGACGGACAGGAGCCUGGCUCGGAUAAAAGAUCUAAAGAUGAGGUUCUUAGAGCCAAGCGUCUGCCUGAUAGUCGAGCUGCUACAGAUAAUAAUCCCAUUGGUCCUAACCAGAAAUUAAAGGGCAGUAAGAAGGAAUCUUUUGACAAGAAGGUGGUUUCGGAUCUUAAUAUCGCUGGUUGUGAAAGCUCAAAAAUGUUGCUUAAAGAGAAACCAAGCGCCGGAGUCUCGAGUGAUAAGCAUGAGCAUGCAGUUGGCUCUAAAAAUGGGAGUUUGGGGAAGAAAAAGAGGUCUGAAAGUGAACUUGGAAAGUCUGCAUCAGGAGAAGGUGAGAGUCUACGUGCUGCUAAGAGACAACGACCUGAAGAUCCUAAGGAUCAAAAACCAUCCAAGAGCAAGCGUCUUCGUCCUGAAGGCAAAGCUGAAGGAUCUGAUUCUACUGGCGUUGUGUCAAUUCGAAAGCGUGAGAUUGUUGAUAAGGAAAUGGUCGGUUAUACAAGGCGUCACAAACAGACAGUUGAGCACACAAAAUCUUCCUCCUUUUCUGGCUCUCGUGAUAGAAAGGGAGCAAAUCAUCCGGAACGGAAGAUUAGUUCAUCUUCUGCUGAAUGUGUGAAGGUUUCAGCUGCUCAGCUGCCUAAGAGACGGAGGGCAGUUUAUAUCUAUGAUGAAGAUGACGAUGAAGAGUCAAAGACUCCGGUGCAUGGAGGAGAUACCAAUGUUCGCAACGAUACUUCAGCUUCUACUGAUGGUCCUAAAAGUGCUAAGGCGUCCCAUGAUACUUCUAUUAAAGUGAAGCGAUUUGAAGGAUCUGAAAAAAGUGCCGAAACAGGGAAGGUACCGCUGUGUAAACAUAACAAGGAGGCUUCACUUACACUUCCUGAUAGCGUGGAGGGCCUUUCGUUCAGCUCGCCUAUGGGAAAAUCUGUGACCGAGUUACCCCCAGAGAAUGUCAAGCCAAUCUUAAAAUCUCCUAAGAAAUCCCCCAAGCUGAUUACAUUCAAGAAACAGGUGAAGGGACAAAAUAAAACUGCAAAAGUCUCUGGUGCAGGAAUGCCAGAUAGCGUGGAGGGCCUCUCUAACAGGUCGUCUAUUGGAAACCCAGUCAUCAAGUUACCCACAAAAAAUGUUAAGCAGGUCUUGAGAUCUCCUAAGAAGUCCCCUCAGUUGGUUUCAACUAAGGAUCAGGUGGCAGGACAACAUAAAAUGGGAAAAGUCUCUGGUGUGGGGAUGUCAAAAAAAUGCCAAGGUGAUUCUACUAAGGAUGCAGUGGCUGGUUCUGAUAGAGCUAGCUCUUCUCAAUCUCAGGCAACAAAUCAGAGAAGAAAACCAGCUUUAGGGGAAAAACAAAAAAACACUCCAAAAGUUGCAACUCGUUUGAACGAUGCUGGAGUGUCAAGAGACACAUCUGCUAACUUGUCCGCUGGGAUGAUUGGUGGCAAUCAAGAAAAUGGAAAUACCCCAUUGAUCAGUUCUGGGUUGCCAGAUUCUUCGUCAUCUAUGAAGGUUCUGAUUGCAGCUGCCCAAGCUAAAAGAAAACAAGCACAUACACCUACUUCACCGUCUGUGAAUCUGGACAAUACGUUCUCUGGCAUCGGUGAAACGCAUCUGAGAAAUAACAGCCCUUCCAUGGUUCAGAAAGUUUCAUCUUCUGCUGGCGACGCCAUGGUGAUUGUUACUCUGGGACACGAAGAACAGACGACUCCAUCAAAUCAUGGAAACCAGUCCGGAUCAAGUAACCAAGCUGGGAUUGAAGAGAAUGAAGAGAGAAGAGUUAGCUCAGGGCAUAUGUCAGUUGGGGAUGCUGUCACUGAGGCUGCAAUUUCACGAGAUGCUUUUGAGGGAAUGAUAGAGACCUUAUCCAGAACGAAGGAAAGUAUUGGACGUGCAACACGCCAGGCUAUUCAGUGUGCAAAGCAUGGGAUUGCCAGUGAGGUUGUGGAACUUCUCAUACGAAAGCUAGAAAGUGAGCCUCUUUUCCGACGUAAAGUGGACUUGUUCUUUCUCGUUGAUUCGAUCACACAGUGUUCCCAUAGCCAAAAAGGUAUAGCUGGCGCGUUGUAUAUUCCUACUGUGCAGGCAGCCUUGCCACGCCUUCUAGGUGCUGCGGCUCCGUCAGGGACUGGGGCUCGUGAAAAUCGCCAUCAAUGUCGCAAGGUGUUGAGGUUGUGGCUUGAAAGGAAGAUUUUUCCGGAUUCUCUCCUGCGUCGCUAUAUUGGUGAUAUUAGCACCUCUGGUGGCGAUGCAACUGCAGGGUUUACCUUACGACGUCCUUCUAGAUCUGAGCGUUCUGUAGAUGACCCUAUAAGGGAAAUGGAAGGGAUGCUUGUUGAUGAGUAUGGGAGCUAUGCGAGUUUUCAGCUACCUGGAUUUUUAUCUUCUCAUACUUUUGGAGAGGGUGAAGAAGAUGAGGAUUUUCCAACCACAUCACGGGAAGUUGAAAACACACAAAUUGAAGAAUCAGCCCAUGCUUUAGGAAAAUUAAAGGCAGGUGAUAGUUCGGGUGAUAAAACUCCAUGUGUUCUAGAGGCUGUCAAUGGUGUGCGUGAAAUGGAAGAUGCUUCUUAUCAGCCAAGAGAUGAAGAACGUUCGUAUGAUAGUUCAAGUGAUAAACCUCACUGUGUUUUAGAGGUUGGCAAUGGUGUGCGUGAAAUGGAAGAAGUUUCUUAUCAGCCAAGAGUUGAAGAACCAUCGUAUGUUUGUGGGACUGGAGCAAAGGAGGACUCACCGACUGUAACCACUGCAACUGAGCCUUUUCCAGAGGGUUCUCCUCCGCUGCCUCAUGAAACGCCUCCAUCUCCCCCUCCCCUGCCUCCUUCCCCUCCACCCUCAUCCCCGCUUCCACCUCCAUCAUCUCCACCGCAGCUGCCACCACCCCCACCUCUCUCUGAGCAACGUUCACCUCCACCACUAGCUCCUUUACCACCUCCCCAAUCUAUAGCUACACCACAAUCAUCCAUAACUCAACCGUCCAAGCCUAGCUAUCCUUCGUUACCCCUUCAACCAGGAUUUGCUCCUCCAUAUCCAGUAUUGCAACAUGAAUACCAGAUAUCUACACAGCGGUCUGGCGUUGCCACUAACCAACUACUACGGCCGAGCAGUGCCUCUUUCGGACAUAGCCCAGGGACUAGGCAUCUCGCUCCAGCACCAUCCAGCCAUUUUUCGCUUCCAAGCCGGAUUGUUGAAUUACAACCCCAACGCUCCUCCUUUCCUCAUCCUUGCCCUUUUCCAUCUCAGUCAGUUGAUGCGCCGCGACAUAUGAAUGAGGAUCCAUGGCGGUUGCCUUCAAAUGCACGUCGUGCAGAUACUCAACAUGGAGCCUGGAUACGUGGAAAAAAUCCACUUCCAGGCUCUCUUACGGUUACAGAUGGUUUCGUUCAGCCUCCUCCAGAAAGACCACCUUCAGGGUCAAUGAGCUAUCAACCUGCUGGUAAUAAUAUGCAUGCGGGCCCUACAAUUUUAGGUCAUACUACUUCGCAGAUGCUACCAUCUCGGCCUGACGUACCUUCUGCGGCUUGUUGGAGGCCUUCUUGAAGUUAAGUUUGAAAUAGACUUCUCACCCUUCCAUGGAAGACACUUUUUUGGCGGUAUAUUCACUUCCAGAGGCAUCAAAACUCUUCAGGCUAUUGUCAGGAUACUGCUGUAUAUUGUAAAUUUUCCUGACAAAUGUUAUCACCGGAUCAUGUUCUUCACAGUAUAUGCCCUUGUUUCUAAUUUGGUGUCUCUUCUCUGCAUAACCUAGGUUGUCCUCCCUGGAGCUGUAGCAGGAACAUGAAGCUUGCAUGUAUAAACAACUGCGACUUCAUUCACCGGAUUUUACAAGUAUCCAUAUUGAACGCACUGCUUAUCUGAAGUUUGUUGAGGACUUGAGCUAGGUUUACACUUUGGAACCCGGGAUGGUUGAGUCGUGGAGAUGAGUCCUGGUUGGAUCAAGUUUUUGCGUAAUGUUGAGGUAAAGACAUUGAGCUGGAUGAGCCUAUAAAAAUAGAAGAUUGGAAUCUAACAGAAACGUAUUUGAUCAUAUACUUAAUUGAUUUCUUAGGUAACGUAUUUUAAAAACGCAUAUCCGUACUUUUGGUUUUGAUCGUUCCCCAAAAGUUGUGGGACAAUGAACUAGUAACAUAUGAAACGGUUUAAAAGAAUGUUCUGCAAAAUAAAAAAAUUUAAGUUCAACUCAUAGAAGUUAAUUCUCGAGACUAUGUUGUUUGUUACCCAUUGUGCUAUUACGUUUUACUUUACAUCCACAGCAGAAAUCCACUUCUGUCGCCCGUACUGCUAGUGUUCAGGUUGCUUUUCAUGGUUAUGGCAGAAGUGGAAGUGUUAAGGGAGACUAACGAUGAUGAAGGUGCAGCAGUGUUGACGACAUUUUUUUAUCAUGCUUUUAAAUGUUCCAUUUAGUUCAACACUUGCAAAUUUGUAUGCUUGUUUUUAAAACUGUGGAUUUAUGCUUUAUAUUUUUAGAUUGUUGAUGAAAUAUAUAUUACAUUAUUUUA
This is an RNA transcript of Brassica rapa (field mustard), 5394 nucleotides long. It is a transcript of the gene named protein HUA2-LIKE 1, with no coding region annotated. The record is from RefSeq and is a predicted model, not a curated record. NCBI's taxonomy places the organism in Eukaryota, Viridiplantae, Streptophyta, Magnoliopsida, Brassicales, Brassicaceae.